GCCCGCCGGCCCGGCAGCUUCAUGUACCACCCACACGCCGACGAGAUGGUGCAGAUGGCCAUGGGCAUGAUGGGCCUGUGGAUCAC
RNAcentral lists this transfer RNA (86 nucleotides) under Heterosigma akashiwo. Lineage: Eukaryota; Raphidophyceae; Chattonellales; Chattonellaceae. The record is from RNAcentral.